AAAUGUUGCUACUUAGUGUAUAUUCUUUUUAUUUGUCAGAUCGUUGACACUAAUUAUUAAUUCUAAAAUUCGAGUGAUUAGAAAUAUGCAACUAAUUUACUUAAAUCAUAUAUACAUAUAUAGCGCUUAUGGGUCUCGAUUGUAACUCGAUCAACCAGCUUCACGCUACUUCUCAUAUGACUCAGCUCAAUCUGACUUUUCACCAUUACGAACGUGAGUCGGUCCAAUCUAACCUCCGACCACAUCGCAGGAUGCUGGCGUCUUUAAUUUUAGAAAAUUCCAAAAUUUUCAUACAAAAUAACUAAGUUAUUUCAAUCUACAACAAUGACUCAAUAUUACUUUAUAUAAUGAUUAGAAAUUAAAAUAUAAUAAUGUAAAGAGAAACCAAAUUGUGAUAUGGGAAUAGUGCAGGGAUCAUUCAUACAAUUAAAUUUUUUUUAUAAAAAAAUUGCCAACUAAUGCAUGGAGGUUGUUUUAGCUUGCAUCAGUGCUAUCUAUAGCUGUUAGCUAGGCACGGUCACAUUCAACAAAACGUUACGUAACAAACGCUUGGUGGGGACUACCAUGCAAAAUAUAAAAUUUUUUAUUUCAUUUUUCACUUUACUUUAUUAUUUUAUUUAUUUUGCAUUUGGGUCCUUGUCACCCCAUGUGUGUUGUUUCACACCAUCACACCUUUGCUCCCUCAAAGUAAGGAAAAGAUAUUUGUUUAUUUACUGGAAAAGAGAAAGGGCGAGGGAAUCUCGUUUUGCCUCGGAAAGUGUGAACUCUUGUACUAAAAUAAAUUAAAAGAGACUUCACAUUUUGCGAACUUAUCCUCUCACAUAAAUAUGAAAGUUAACGGGUCCAAUUCGGAUCGGGUUUAGAAAAAUCUAAAUUCAAACAGAUCCGGAACUUGAAUCCGAGCUUGAGUCUGAAUCCGACGGACUUUAAAAGCCCAUAUCCAAAACUGAAUCCAAUCAAAAAUUCUAAAUUUGAACCCCAACUCGAAAACUCGAACACGAAGCAAUUAUUUUUCUUUACUAUAUUUCAAAAUAAAUUAAUAAAUUAUAAAUUUUUUUAAAAAAUUAAAAUAUAACAUCAAAUAUUUAUAUAUAGUAUAUAAUAUAAAAUGUAUUUAUCGGAUUCGGGUACUGAAAUAAUUCAUAUUUGAAUUCGAAUUCGCCGGGUUUUCGUUUUUUAUAGUCAUAUUCAACACUAUAUCUGUUUAGUAUCGGGUAAACCCACUCCAUUCGGAUUUGAGUGCGUGUUUAAAUAAAAUUUCAAGUAUCCUUACCCAUUGACAUUCCUACAUAUGAAUAGUAUGUACUUAGAGUCCGUUGGUUGCACGUAUCUGCAACUGCAGUGCAGUUGCAAAUACAUGCAACUUCAAUUCUCAUGUUUGAAUUUAGUGCAGUUGACCGUCAAUUUGAACACUCUAUCAUCUAAAAUGACAUGGAAGCAUCAUGGACUAGAUAUUUCUAAAAAUAUUCUAACUCAGUCCUAGAGGUAGUAUAAUAUUGUAUAAAUCAACAAAAAAAAAAAUUAUUGUUUAAAAUCAACUUAGAUAAAUAUAACUAAUUAUAUUAAGGUUUUUCUUUUAACUUAAAUUUUAUGCAAUUUAAAGGCCUGUCAAAAUAGAUUUCUUUAUUAUUGUGAUCACAGAUAAUCUAGCCAUAUAUCUUCCUAAAAAUAAUAAUAAGAACAAAAAUAUAUAAACUCAAUUUGCCUGAACUAUAGACCAUUUUGAUUCGACUAUUCAAUUUUUCAAAAUUUUAAUAUUAUUACCUAACCUUUCAACUUAUUUGACUUAAGUGAUAUGAUGAUUUUUCAAUUACAAAAUUUAAACUAAUUGCCCACUUUAAUGAAUUUAUAAUUACGUACAUUAAUUGCAUAUAAUAUACUAACUAAAUUCGUAAAGAUAAACAACACAUUCAAAUUUCGAAAUUAAAAGGUCACUAAUUGACUUAAAUCAAAUAAAUAAAAAAGUCAGAUAAUAAAAUCAAAAUUUUCAAAGAUUAGAUAGUCGAAUCCGAAAAGCUGAUAAUUGAUGUAAGUUUUAUACAUUUUUGCCAAUUAAAGAGAAAUAAGCACUUAAAAGCAACCAUCAUUUUUUUUUUUUUGUUUUCUCACAAAAAACAUGGAAUGCAAACAAUUCACCAUCUAUCCAUAUAUUCAAUGAUACUGAAUUUGAGUUCCAAAAAAAAUAUAAUAAUAAAUAUGAUAAAAUGGGGUCUUAAGCAACAAUUAGAUUUACCAUGCUUGAUCCAUCUUUAGAAACUAGAAAAAGUAAUUAACUUGAGAAUUAUUGUGAGGCAAAAUAAAUGCUAAUUUUACAUAUACAGUAGGGUCACAUAUAAAUAAGAAAUUAAUGUUGGCAAAACUCGAUCAACCAAGAUAAGCAGUUUCAGUUAAAUGGGUUGGUGGUUAGUUAAUGGUCCUAAUUAAUUAUUAUCUCCAACUUUUGAGGUUCUUAAUUUGCCAUUUAAUGACUUUUUUAAUUUUUUUCUAAACAAAGAGAAUCAAUCCAUGUGACAAUCUUAACUCUACAGUAGAAAUUUCCUAGUUUAUUAUAUUCUGCUUUUAUUUAUUAAAAAAGAAAAUCUGUGAUCUUGAACCAUUAGGUAGACAUUUAAUUUGAUUUAGCUGAAAAUGUAUAAACAUUUUAUCGCGACAAAAUUAAGAAAAGGAUAUAAUUUUAGUCUUGUGCUUUUGCAGUAGUAGAUAGUUUUGUGACAACUUCAUUACUCUAUUCAAACAAACUCUUUAUGAAUUAAUUAACAUUCUUUUUUUUUUCUUUCUUUUUCUUUUUUUUUGAGAAAUAGGUAGCAAGCCACCUGCUUCAUUCAUUAAGCGAAAUGAACAAUUAACAUUUUUUUCAUAAGCUUCAACUGAGUGAAUAAGUCACAACCAUGUUCAAGCAGUUUUAUUUUCCACUUAAUUUUUUGUUUAUAAUUGGUUUCUACACUCUUCUCAGGUGAUACAACAACAAAAAUUUGGCACAGGGAUUAAGUAGCUAGUAAUAAUAAUUUCCACCUCUCACAUUAUUCACAAUCUAUACAGUAUACACUACAACAAAAUUUCUCACAUUAUUCACAAUCUAUACAGUAUACACUACAACAAAAUUAGGUUAUAGGGACAUAUUUUUGGGGCACUUUUGUGUACAUAUUUCAUUUUUACCAAAAUUUUUUUAAAAAAAUCUAUAAGGUCUAAAUAUAAAACCUAAUCCAACCAAAAAUAAAAAAUUUCUCUACUCAACCAGUCCCACCCAGCCCACUCAACCCAAUUACAAAUAGGAAGAAAAAAAAAAAAUGAUCACCAUCUCCCCUACUCCUCCGCCGCCGCAGCCGACGAGGUAGGGUUCCAGUGGCUGGAGUUCGGUCGCGAGAAUCUCGCAGGGGUUGUAGAGAGUUACGAUCACCACGUAUUCCUCCACCACAGGUCGCUGGAGGAGUGGGUGCCAAACAUCGAGACGAUCCCACAUAUAGCGACUCCACAUAUAGCGGCUUUUUUUAGAAAGUUUCGGUAAUUUAGCCAACAACACUUUUUUUAAUCUGUACCGAUAUUUUAAAAGUGUCGCUAUAUACCGUUUUUGUUGUAGUACUUGUAACAAGUAUUAAUAUUCACUCCGAAAGCUGUGCCAAAAAGAAUAAAAUAUUUAUACAAUACAAAAUAUAAAUGUAGCUUGUUUAGCUGAAAGUAAAAAUGUAUAGAAUAUAUU
Molecule: long non-coding RNA, 3697 nt
Filed under: Ananas comosus (pineapple)
Lineage: Eukaryota; Viridiplantae; Streptophyta; Magnoliopsida; Poales; Bromeliaceae
Description: long non-coding RNA (ACOM_LNC009395)
Source: RNAcentral